Molecule: ribosomal RNA, 587 nt
Filed under: Trichoderma atroviride
Lineage: Eukaryota; Fungi; Ascomycota; Sordariomycetes; Hypocreales; Hypocreaceae
Description: eukaryotic LSU rRNA
Rfam family: 5.8S ribosomal RNA (bases 203-356)
Source: RNAcentral
GACAGCGGAGGGACAUUACCGAGUUUAAACUCCCAAACCCAAUGUGAACCAUACCAAACUGUUGCCUCGGCGGGGUCACGCCCCGGGUGCGUCGCAGCCCCGGAACCAGGCGCCCGCCGGAGGGACCAACCAAACUCUUUUCUGUAGUCCCCUCGCGGACGUUAUUUCUUACAGCUCUGAGCAAAAAUUCAAAAUGAAUCAAAACUUUCAACAACGGAUCUCUUGGUUCUGGCAUCGAUGAAGAACGCAGCGAAAUGCGAUAAGUAAUGUGAAUUGCAGAAUUCAGUGAAUCAUCGAAUCUUUGAACGCACAUUGCGCCCGCCAGUAUUCUGGCGGGCAUGCCUGUCCGAGCGUCAUUUCAACCCUCGAACCCCUCCGGGGGGUCGGCGUUGGGGACCUCGGGAGCCCCUAAGACGGGAUCCCGGCCCCGAAAUACAGUGGCGGUCUCGCCGCAGCCUCUCCUGCGCAGUAGUUUGCACAACUCGCACCGGGAGCGCGGCGCGUCCACGUCCGUAAAACACCCAACUUUCUGAAAUGUUGACCUCGGAUCAGGUAGGAAUACCCGCUGAACUUAAGCAUAUCAAUAA